This 414-nucleotide unclassified non-coding RNA is filed under the name Hevea brasiliensis (rubber tree). Lineage: Eukaryota; Viridiplantae; Streptophyta; Magnoliopsida; Malpighiales; Euphorbiaceae. The record is from RNAcentral.
GUAAAAUGCAAGCAAUCAUAUCUUAAUGUUGCUUUUAAAGGAAACCACAUUACACUUAAAAAGAUUGCAGGACUUAACUACAAUUCUUUUUCUUCCAAUAUAUAUAUAACAUCUUCCUACCACAAUCUCAGUACAUUAUUUUUUUAAUAGUGUAGGUAAGAAGAUGGAUACUUUUAGAUUAGAAUGACCGCUUAAGGAGCGUAGCCACCACCGUGUCCACCACCUUCACCACCUCCAGCACCUCCUCCGUAACCACCAGCAUGCUCUCCACCGGCAUAGGCUCCACCACCACCGGCACCACUACCACCGCCUCCACCAUAUGCUCCUCCAUGUGCUCCUCCUGCACCACCACCAGCUCCUCCUCCACUACCAUAUCCACCACCUGAGGCUCCUCCUUCUCCUCCAGCAUACGCA